Molecule: ribosomal RNA, 377 nt
Filed under: uncultured bacterium
Lineage: Bacteria
Description: bacterial SSU rRNA
Rfam family: Bacterial small subunit ribosomal RNA
Source: RNAcentral
AUACGAAGGUGGCAAGCGUUGUUCGGAAUCACUGGGCUUAAAGGGCGCGUAGGCGGACCAGAAAGUGUCUUGUGAAAUCCCCCGGCUUAACCGGGGAAUGGCAGGGCAAACUACUGGUCUUGAGGCAAGUAGGGGUGUGUGGAACUCUUGGUGGAGCGGUGGAAUGCGUAGAUAUCAAGAGGAACGCCGAAGGUGAAGACAGCACACUGGACUUGUACUGACGCUGAGGCGCGAAAGCGUGGGGAGCAAACAGGAUUAGAUACCCUGGUAGUCCACGCUGUAAACGAUGCCUACUAGGUUGUGGGGGUUCUGACACCCUCACAGUCGGAGCAAAAGUGUUAAGUAGGCCGCCUGGGGAGUACGGUCGCAAGGCUAAA